This 75-nucleotide transfer RNA is filed under the name Nocardia cyriacigeorgica. Its description in RNAcentral is "tRNA-Thr". It matches the Rfam family "tRNA". From Rfam's summary of the family: Transfer RNA (tRNA) molecules are approximately 80 nucleotides in length. Their secondary structure includes four short double-helical elements and three loops (D, anti-codon, and T loops). RNAcentral also lists the same sequence under 5 other names. The record is from RNAcentral. Lineage: Bacteria; Bacillati; Actinomycetota; Actinomycetes; Mycobacteriales; Nocardiaceae.
GCCUCCUUAGCUCAGUGGUAGAGCACUCGCCUUGUAAGCGAAAGGUCGUCAGUUCAAUCCUGACAGGGGGCUCAA